This 402-nucleotide ribosomal RNA is filed under the name bacterium. RNAcentral describes it as "partial 16S ribosomal RNA". It matches the Rfam family "Bacterial small subunit ribosomal RNA", at positions 355 to 776 of the family's 1533-position model. The record is from RNAcentral.
UGGGGAAUUUUGCACAAUGGGGGAAACCCUGAUGCAGCGACGCCGCGUGAUUUAGAAGGCCUUCGGGUUGUAAAAAUCUUUUCUAUGGGAAGAAAAUGACAGUACCAUAGGAAUAAGGACCGGCUAAUUACGUGCCAGCAGCCGCGGUAAUACGUAAGGUCCGAGCGUUGUCCGGAAUCAUUGGGCGUAAAGGGUACGUAGGCGGGUAAGCAAGUUAGAAGUGAAAUCCUAUAGCUCAACUAUAGUAAGCUUUUAAAACUGCUCAUCUUGAGGUAUGGAAGAGAAAGUGGAAUUCCUAAUGAAGCGGUGAAAUGCGCAGAUAUUAGGAGGAAUACCGGUGGCGAAGGCGACUUACUGGCCAUAACCUGACGCUGAGGUACGAAAGCGUGGGUAGCAAACGGG